This 2497-nucleotide ribosomal RNA is filed under the name human gut metagenome. RNAcentral's name for it is "bacterial LSU rRNA". It matches the Rfam family "Bacterial large subunit ribosomal RNA", at positions 14 to 2523 of the family's 2925-position model. The record is from RNAcentral.
AGGGCGCACGGUGGAUGCCUUGGCACUAGGAGCCGAUGAAGGACGGGACUAACACCGAUAUGCUUUGGGGAGCUGUAAGUAAGCUAUGAUCCAGAGAUUUCCGAAUGGGGGAACCCAAUAUCUUUUAUAGGAUAUUACUUUUCAGUGAAUACAUAGCUGAUUAGAGGUAGACGCAGAGAACUGAAACAUCUUAGUACCUGCAGGAAGAGAAAGAAAAUUCGAUUCCCUGAGUAGCGGCGAGCGAAACGGGAAGAGCCCAAACCAACAAGCUUGCUUGUUGGGGUUGUAGGACUCCGAUAUGGUAGUCUGUUAGUAUAGUUGAAGGAUUUGGAAAAUUCCGCUAAAGAGGGUGAAAGCCCCGUAGACGAAAUGCUGACAACACCUAGGAGGAUCCUGAGUACGGCGGAACACGAGAAAUUCCGUCGGAAUCCGCGGGGACCAUCCCGCAAGGCUAAAUACUCCCUAGUGACCGAUAGUGAACCAGUACCGUGAGGGAAAGGUGAAAAGCACCCCGGAAGGGGAGUGAAAUAGAUCCUGAAACCGUGUGCCUACAACAAGUCAAAGCUCGUUAAUGAGUGAUGGCGUGCCUUUUGUAGAAUGAACCGGCGAGUUACGAUUGCAUGCGAGGUUAAGUCGAAGAGACGGAGCCGCAGCGAAAGCGAGUCUGAAUAGGGCGAAUGAGUAUGUAGUCGUAGACCCGAAACCAUGUGAUCUACCCAUGUCCAGGUUGAAGGUGCGGUAAAACGCACUGGAGGACCGAACCCACGUACGUUGAAAAGUGCGGGGAUGAGGUGUGGGUAGCGGAGAAAUUCCAAACGAACUUGGAGAUAGCUGGUUCUCUCCGAAAUAGCUUUAGGGCUAGCCUCGGAAUUGAGAAUGAUGGAGGUAGAGCACUGUUUGGACUAGGGGCCCAUCUCGGGUUACCGAAUUCAGAUAAACUCCGAAUGCCAUUCAUUUAUAUCCGGGAGUCAGACUGCGAGUGAUAAGAUCCGUAGUCGAAAGGGAAACAGCCCAGACCACCAGCUAAGGUCCCAAAAUAUAUGUUAAGUGGAAAAGGAUGUGGGGUUGCACAGACAACUAGGAUGUUGGCUUAGAAGCAGCCACCAUUUAAAGAGUGCGUAAUAGCUCACUAGUCGAGUGACCCUGCGCCGAAAAUGUACCGGGGCUAAACAUAUUACCGAAGCUGUGGACUACACCAUUAGGUGUAGUGGUAGGAGAGCGUUCUAAGGGCGUUGAAGGUCGAUCGUGAGGACGGCUGGAGCGCUUAGAAGUGAGAAUGCCGGUAUGAGUAGCGAAAGACAGGUGAGAAUCCUGUCCACCGUAUGACUAAGGUUUCCUGGGGAAGGCUCGUCCGCCCAGGGUUAGUCGGGACCUAAGCCGAGGCCGAUAGGCGUAGGCGAUGGACAACAGGUUGAUAUUCCUGUACCAGUUGUUUUUGUUUGAGCAAUGGAGGGACGCAGUAGGCUAAGGAAUGCAUGCGAUUGGAAGUGCAUGUCCAAGCAAUGAGUCUUGAGUAGAGUUAAAUGCUUUACUCUCUAAGGACAAGUUGUGACGGGGAGCGAAAUAAUAGUAGCGAAGUUCCUGAUGUCACACUGCCAAGAAAAGCUUCUAGUGAGAAAACAACUGCCCGUACCGUAAACCGACACAGGUAGUCGAGGAGAGUAUCCUAAGGUGAGCGAGCGAACUCUCGUUAAGGAACUCGGCAAAAUGACCCCGUAACUUCGGGAGAAGGGGUGCUGACUUCGGUCAGCCGCAGUGAAUAGGCCCAAGCGACUGUUUAUCAAAAACACAGGUCUCUGCAAAAUCGUAAGAUGAAGUAUAGGGGCUGACGCCUGCCCGGUGCUGGAAGGUUAAGAGGAUGGGUUAGCUUCGGCGAAGCUCAGAAUUGAAGCCCCAGUAAACGGCGGCCGUAACUAUAACGGUCCUAAGGUAGCGAAAUUCCUUGUCGGGUAAGUUCCGACCCGCACGAAAGGCGUAACGAUUUGGGCACUGUCUCAACGAGAGACUCGGUGAAAUUUUAGUACCUGUGAAGAUGCAGGUUACCCGCGACAGGACGGAAAGACCCCAUGGAGCUUUACUGUAGUUUGAUAUUGAGUGUUUGUACCACAUGUACAGGAUAGGUAGGAGCCGAUGAGACCGGAACGCUAGUUUCGGAGGAGGCGCUGGUGGGAUACUACCCUUGUGUUAUGAACCCUCUAACCCGCACCACUAAUCGUGGUGGGAGACAGUGUCAGAUGGGCAGUUUGACUGGGGCGGUCGCCUCCUAAAAGGUAACGGAGGCGCCCAAAGGUUCCCUCAGAAUGGUUGGAAAUCAUUCGAAGAGUGUAAAGGCAGAAGGGAGCUUGACUGCGAGACCUACAAGUCGAGCAGGGACGAAAGUCGGGCUUAGUGAUCCGGUGGUUCCGCAUGGAAGGGCCAUCGCUCAACGGAUAAAAGCUACCCUGGGGAUAACAGGCUUAUCUCCCCCAAGAGUCCACAUCGACGGGGAGGUUUGGCA